This 579-nucleotide ribosomal RNA is filed under the name uncultured soil bacterium. RNAcentral describes it as "bacterial SSU rRNA". It matches the Rfam family "Bacterial small subunit ribosomal RNA", at positions 35 to 643 of the family's 1533-position model. The record is from RNAcentral.
GCUGGCGGCGCGCUUAACACAUGCAAGUCGCACGAGAAAGCAGGAGCAAUCUUGUGAGUAAAGUGGCGUACGGGUGAGUAACACGUGGAUCAUCUACCUUCUAGUGGGGAAUACCUCUGGGAAACCGGAGAUAAUUCCGCAUAAGCUCGUGAGAGGAAAGCCGAAAGGCGCUGGAAGAGGAGUCCGCGGCUGAUUAGCUAGAUGGCGGGGUAACGGCCCACCAUGGCGAAGAUCGGUAGCCGGCCUGAGAGGGCACACGGCCACACUGGCACUGAAACACGGGCCAGACUCCUACGGGAGGCAGCAGUGGGGAAUCUUGCACAAUGGAGGCAACUCUGAUGCAGCGACGCCGCGUGAGCGAUGAAGCCCUUCGGGGUGUAAAGCUCUUUCGACGGGAAAGAUGAUGACGGUACCCGGAGAAGAAGCUGCGGCUAACUACGUGCCAGCAGCCGCGGUAAUACGUAGGCAGCGAGCGUUGUUCGGAAUUACUGGGCGUAAAGAGUGUGUAGGCGGUGCUCCAAGUCUGGUGUGAAAUCUCCCGGCUUAACUGGGAGGGUGCCGCCGGAAACUGGAGUGCUA